CUCGUGCUGGUUGCCCCUGUCAAUCCCAAACCAGAACCACCCACCUUCCGCCGCCGGCGACCAGCUACAGUGGAGCAGCUCAUCUGCGCCACCCUCCCAUCUCCGUCCAUUAAUCAGGCCCCUCCGCGCACCUUCCCGGCCGUCGAGGAUGCCGCGCCUGCCUCCCUGGCGCGAGGUCCAGCUCGUCGACCUGCUCAUCGUCAUCGCAGCACAGUCGGGGCUCUCAACCACCAGGUCUCCGGCGCGUAUCCUCAAAGGGUGCUGGCUCAUCUCCGUCUCUUCGCUGCUAUGCCAGCGACGUCCACGACCCCCUCCCCGCUCAUACCCACCCCUCCAGCAGUCCAGCUCCAAUGGCAGCAUGCCCGCCAUCUGCUCGAUGAAACGUCUGUGCCCAACCGACCAGCAUCUAUGCCAAAUCUACUGGAGGCUCACAAAGACAUCAACAUAUAUGAUGCCAACCUUCCUGAGAAGCUUUCCUGAUGUUGAGUCGCUGUGUAUCACGCCUGCAGAAUUUGAUCAGGCUCAACCUCAAGUUCUACGAAGAUCAGGCUGUUCCCAAAGUAAAUGUGUUGUUGUGCAUCAGGGCGAUCCCAUUUGGUGAGUUCCAGGGAGGGGGAGCAAUACGAGCUUUCCUUCCAUUGCAACCUCGUCAGGAGUUCACGUGUUCUAAAUUAUGCAGCCGUUCGGAUGGCCAAUUCUAGGUUCACUUCAAGGUCCAUGGAUCAGAUGCUAUCCACUGUGGAGAAUACGAGUAAUGAAAAUUGUGCCAGUGAGUGUAAGGUGGCUGUCUAUGAGAGUACUGGCCCUGAGGGAGGUAGACGCUGGACCUUUUAGCGAGGAGCAAAGUUUUCUGAUGAUAACCCUUUUGUACCAGUUGAAAUCCUCUAAUGUAGAUGGCAAUGAACUCUUGUACAGCAGAAAAUAUCUGGAAGAAGCAACUCACUAAUACCGAAGCUCUGAAAAGAAUCCAAAUAAACCCAUAGUUUUUAGAAACAGACCUCAAGGUCACAUCUUUCUCGGAGCUCUGCCUGAAGGUCUGGAUGAUGCGGGAAAAUGUGUUGAGCUGGAUCCUACUUAUCCGGUGGGUUAUGCAUGUCGAAGGUUCAAGCCCUGAUGCAGAUUUAUGAAAGUGCUAUGGCAAUAUACAUAGAGGGUUUGAAGUGUGAUCCAAAUAGUACCAUUGUAAUUGAUGGCUUUAAGAGAUGUGUGACAUGCAUUGAGAGGUCUAAAGGCGGUGAUGUUUGGCCUGAGGAUUUAGAAGACAUUUUGAGAGAUUGACAUUCGGACAUUGAUUUGUGUAAAGAAGUUUCUUAUGAGCCCUCGAGGCGGAUUGAAUCUGAACGAGUGGCCAAGGUAUCAGAGGCAAACAAGGUCCAACGACAGGAAGAAACUAAGGAACAUGUUUCCAAGAUAGUACAACAAGAGUUGCAACAAGUUAAAGCAUGACAAGAUGAGGUCGCUGAUGAGCUACAGAAAGCUAAUAAGCAUAAUGAGCAUGUUCGACAUCAACUCUUGGAGUGCAAGAAGGGUCAUAGUGAGGAACUUUAGAGAGCCAAUGAGCAUAGUUUGAAUCUUCAACAGCAGCUCUCGGAAUCCAAAGAGCAGUAUAAUGAGCUUAAGUCCAAGCAUGACGACUUACUAAGGAACGAGAUACUACACUCAAAGAGGUAGAAAAGUUAUGCCGGAGAAGAAGUUCGGCGAUGCCCUGCCAGUUUUCAUUAUCUGAACUGAAGUGAGCAACAGAAAAUUCCAUACUUCAUUUAAGUGCAGAGAAUGCCUGUUUAUCUCUGUGGUGUCCUUCGGAAGAUGAAAGUUGUAAUAAAGGUCCCAAUCUCUAGUUAAAUCAUGAAUCAGUCUCAUGGGCAUGAACCGGAUUAAAUUUGUCUCCUA
Molecule: RNA transcript, 1890 nt
Organism: Triticum aestivum (bread wheat)
Lineage: Eukaryota; Viridiplantae; Streptophyta; Magnoliopsida; Poales; Poaceae
Exons: 8
Source: RefSeq, a predicted model, not a curated record